GACGAACGCUGGCGGCGUGCUUAACACAUGCAAGUCGAACGGAAAGGCCCUGCUUUUGUGGGGUGCUCGAGUGGCGAACGGGUGAGUAACACGUGAGUAACCUGCCCUUGACUUUGGGAUAACUUCAGGAAACUGGGGCUAAUACCGGAUAUGAGCUCCUGCUGCAUGGUGGGGGUUGGAAAGUUUCGGCGGUUGGGGAUGGACUCGCGGCUUAUCAGCGUGUUGGUGGGGUAGUGGCUUACCAAGGCUUUGACGGGUAGCCGGACUGAGAGGGUGACCGGCCCCAUUGGGACUGAGAUACCAGCAGGACUGAUACGGGAGGCAGCAGUGGGGGAUAUUGCAAGAUGGGCGGCAGCCUGAUGCAGCAACGCCGCGUGGGGGAUGACGGCCUUCGGGUUGUAAACCGCUUUAGCCUGUGACGAAGCGUGAGUGACGGUAAUGGGUAAAGAAGCACCGGCUAACUACGUG
This 468-nucleotide ribosomal RNA is filed under the name uncultured bacterium. RNAcentral describes it as "partial 16S ribosomal RNA". It matches the Rfam family "Bacterial small subunit ribosomal RNA", at positions 28 to 507 of the family's 1533-position model. The record is from RNAcentral.